AACGCGAAGAACCUUACCUGGGCUCGAAGCGCAGUGGAAUCCGGUGGAAACAUCGGCGCCCCUUAAAAGGCUGCUGCGGAGGUGCUGCAUGGCUGUCGUCAGCUCGUGUCGUGAGAUGUUGGGUUAAGUCCCGCAACGAGCGCAACCCUUACCGUUAGUUGCCACCAUUAAGUUGGGCACUCUAGUGGAACUGCCGGUGAUAAACCGGAGGAAGGUGGGGAUGACGUCAAGUCAUCAUGGCCUUUAUGUCCAGGGCUACACACGUGCUACAAUGGCCGGUACAAACCGCCGCAAACUCGCGAGAGGGAGCCAAUCGGAAAAAGCCGGUCUCAGUUCGGAUUGGAGUCUGCAACUCGACUCCAUGAAGUUGGAAUCGCUAGUAAUCGCAGAUCAGCACGCUGCGGUGAAUACGUUCCCGGGCUUGUACACACCGCAUAC
RNAcentral lists this ribosomal RNA (438 nucleotides) under uncultured bacterium. RNAcentral's name for it is "bacterial SSU rRNA". It matches the Rfam family "Bacterial small subunit ribosomal RNA", at positions 958 to 1397 of the family's 1533-position model. The record is from RNAcentral.